GAUGAACGCUGGCGGCGUGCCUAAUACAUGCAAGUCGAGCGAACGGACGAGAAGCUUGCUUCUCUGAUGUUAGCGGCGGACGGGUGAGUAACACGUGGAUAACCUACCUAUAAGACUGGGAUAACUUCGGGAAACCGGAGCUAAUACCGGAUAAUAUUUUGAACCGCAUGGUUCAAAAGUGAAAGACGGUCUUGCUGUCACUUAUAGAUGGAUCCGCGCUGCAUUAGCUAGUUGGUAAGGUAACGGCUUACCAAGGCAACGAUGCAUAGCCGACCUGAGAGGGGGAUAGGCCACACGAGAACUGAGACACGGUCAAGACUCCUACGGGAGGCAGCAGUAGGGAAUCUUCCGCAAUGGGCGAAAGCAUGACGGAGCAACGCCGCGUGAGUGAUGAAGGUCUUCGGAUCGUAAAACUCUGUUAUUAGGGAAGAACAUAUGUGUAAGUAACUGUGCACAUCUUGACGGUACCUAAUCAGAAAGCAACGGCUAACUACGUG
RNAcentral lists this ribosomal RNA (497 nucleotides) under uncultured bacterium. RNAcentral describes it as "partial 16S ribosomal RNA". It matches the Rfam family "Bacterial small subunit ribosomal RNA", at positions 28 to 507 of the family's 1533-position model. The record is from RNAcentral.